RNAcentral lists this ribosomal RNA (468 nucleotides) under uncultured bacterium. Its description in RNAcentral is "partial 16S ribosomal RNA". It matches the Rfam family "Bacterial small subunit ribosomal RNA", at positions 28 to 507 of the family's 1533-position model. The record is from RNAcentral.
GACGAACGCUGGCGGCGGGCUUAACACAUGCAAGUCGAACGGAAAGGCCCUGCUUUUGUGGGGUGCUCGAGUGGCGAACGGGUGAGUAACACGUGAGUAACCUGCCCUUGACUUUGGGAUAACUUCAGGAAACUGGGGCUAAUACCGGAUAGGAGCUCCUGCUGCAUGGUGGGGGUUGGAAAGUUUCGGCGGUGGGGGAUGGACUCGCGGCUUAUCAGCUUGUUGGUGGGGUAGUGGCUUACCAAGGCUUUGACGGGUAGCCGGCCUGAGAGGGUGACCGGCCACAUUGGGACUGAGAUACGGACCAGACUCCUACGGGAGGCAGCAGUGGGGAAUAUUGCACAAUGGGCGGAAGCCUGAUGAAGCAACGCCGCGUGCGGGAUGACGGCCUUCGGGUUGUAAACCGCUUUCGCCUGUGACGAAGCGUGAGUGACGGUAAUGGGUAAAGAAGCACCGGCUAACUACGUG